GGCAAACUACCUUUCAACUUUGAGGACUCACCACUAACAUUUUAUCAGAACCUGUCAAGAGUCACUCUCACUAGGCAAAAAUCACCAGGCCCACUUACAAGCCAUUUAAGGGAAGAAGGAAUGGAAUACAAAUGGGGACAAACAGCUCCUUAAAUGCAACCCACAACAGGACGUGCCGUACUCUCACAUCAGCUGCAGAAGCACCUUUCUUUCUGGAAAAGCUGGGGUUGAACGCUUCAGAUACCAGCCCUGCAGCGGGACCCUCAACAGGGACAUGGAACCUUGACCCUUUUACCCUGAGCCCAAGCACCACACGAGAUCCAGUACCAUGACUGGAACAGGUUACUCUCUUGAUCCAUCACACCCGGGUCCCUGCUGGACAACACCAUGUCUAGGCAAUUCACUUACAAGUCCCAC
Pelobates cultripes (western spadefoot toad) is the source of this 417-nucleotide non-coding RNA. NCBI's taxonomy places the organism in Eukaryota, Metazoa, Chordata, Amphibia, Anura, Pelobatidae. The record is from the annotation of a GenBank genome assembly.